UGUGAGUAACUGAGGUUCUUCCUCCUUCAGAAAAAAACCCAAAAAGCAGCUUUUGGGUUCUUGUUCCAAAUAGCAAAUGCUGAAUGACCUAAGAAAAUCUGAAUGGGUGUCUAAGGGUGAUAAAGUGAACAGACUGGUUGCACUGAUGGACAUGGGUUUGAAGAGUGGUUGGCUCAGGACACAUGGAUGGAGCUCCACAUCAGCUUCUGUCAUUAAAUGGAGAGGGAAGCUUUCAAACUCACCACUGAGGCUCUGAACUGGCUUUAAAUGAAAGGUGUUGUGCUUCUGAAGUGCCCUGCCCAAGAGCUCUCCAGCAAUCCAAACAGCCAGCAGACAAAGCCAUUAAACCUGAAGUGCCCAUGCAUGAUUACCUGGCAGAGAGCUGCAGGAGAGGGUUUGCAGCUGAGUCCCACAGGAACAGGCUUUGUCUGAAAAACAACCCCCGGCAGGUGCAGACUCGGUUGGAAAAAGCCAAGGCUGCUGAUGCCUGUCCUGCAUCUCCCUACCAGCCAUCCAAGGUUUGUCCCGCAGCCGCAGAGGAUCAGACAGAUCAGUGUUUGGGAGCAGGGGCUUUGCUGCCACAGAGAUCUCCACACUCCAGUCCUUGGUCUGCAGCCUGGGAGAGAGCCAAAGCAGUGCUUUGGUGUGUUGCUCCAGCAGCUGGUCAGAGCAGGAGAAUGCCAGCCUUCCAGAGAGAACAGGGAGUGGGGCUGAAAAAAAGGGAGGAAGAGGAGACAUGACUCAGGGGAGGGCAGUGCCCCUCUGAAUCAGGAGGACACCUCUGCAUUGACCAGUGUCCUUGGAUGAGGGAGGAUUCAGGUCGGGAAGAGCAGAGGGCUCAGCCAAGGCAUCAGUCAGCUCGCCCUGGAGAAGUCCUGCUGGCUCCCAACUUGCCAUUU
This is a long non-coding RNA of Manacus vitellinus (golden-collared manakin), 899 nucleotides long. RefSeq lists it as uncharacterized. The record is from RefSeq and is a predicted model, not a curated record. NCBI's taxonomy places the organism in Eukaryota, Metazoa, Chordata, Aves, Passeriformes, Pipridae. The transcript has 6 exons.